Molecule: RNA transcript, 3042 nt
Organism: Nelumbo nucifera (sacred lotus)
Lineage: Eukaryota; Viridiplantae; Streptophyta; Magnoliopsida; Proteales; Nelumbonaceae
Gene name: LUC7 N terminus domain-containing protein
Source: RefSeq, a predicted model, not a curated record
UAUCCACGCGAAUCUCCGCUCACAUACACAAAAAUUAGGGCAAUGUUUGGCUAUUUGGCUUUCUUUUGCAUGCAAGUGAGCAUCAGCAGAGCUUGAUGAGUCUUGUAGUCUGGACUCUGGAGUAGCCUUUUUGUUUGUUCCUUACUUGGGAUGUAGUUUAUUGUCUUAUCCAUGCCCAAUUCUUUCUCGUCGCAUGGAAUGGACACGAUAGAUUAGUAUAUAUACGAUAAAUAUAUAGAAAGAAGGAAAAGCACACUCGACUCCGACUCGACGGAUAAUUCCUUUGUGAAACCCUAAAGGACCACAAAAUUCCCACCAUUUCAAUUCCUCUUCGAUCCCUUAGACCUCUGAAAUCUCACAAGCCGAACCUAGUAUUCUCUUUUGUUAACUUUUUUUUCUUCUCUUCCUGUUUAUUUUGCUAAUUAGGGCUGUUUCGAAUCUACUUCGUUUCAUCCGGUAUUGUUCAAAGUUCCCCAUGGAUGCUCAGAGAGCUCUUCUAGAUGAACUCAUGGGUGCAGCUCGUAAUCUCACCGAAGAGGAGAAAAAGAGUUACAAAGAAAUUCGCUGGGACGAUAAGGAGGUUUGCGGGUUCUACAUGGUUCGGUUUUGCCCGCAUGAUCUGUUCGUGAAUACUAAAAGUGAUCUCGGACCUUGCCCUAGAAUUCACGAUCAGAAACUGAAAGAAAGCUUUGAGAAGUCUCCAAGACAUGAUUCUUUUGUUCCCAAGUUUGAGGCAGAACUUGCUCAGUUUUGCGAGAAACUGGUAUAUGAUCUGGAUAGAAAGGUUAGGCGUGGUCGGGAACGCCUUGCUCAAGAGGUUGAAGUUACACCCCCUGCUCCAAUCUCUACAGAAAAAUCUGAGCAGCUGUCUGUGCUGGAGGAGAAAAUUAAGAACCUGUUGGAGCAAGUGGAGUCCCUAGGGGAAGCAGGCAAGGUGGAUGAAGCAGAGGCACUCAUGAGGAAGGUGGAGAUGCUUAAUGCUGAGAAGACAGCAUUGACUCAACCACAGAAUGACAAGGUCUUGAUGCUUACACAGGAGAAGAAGAUGGCACUUUGUGAGAUCUGUGGUUCUUUCCUAGUAGCAAAUGAUGCUGCAGAAAGGACACAAUCUCAUGUGACAGGAAAGCAGCAUAUUGGUUAUGGGAUGGUCCGUGAUUUCAUUACUGAGUACAAGGCAACUAAGGAGAAAGCAAGAGAAGAUGAAAGACUAGCAAGGGAGAAAGAAGCAGAAGAACGGAGAAAGCGGAGGGAGAAGGAAUAUGAGAGUAGAAGUAGAAGUGAUUCAAGGGAGAGAGAGAGGUACCAUGACAAGGAUCGAGAGAGGGAGCGAGAUAGAUACCGAGAGCGGGAAAGAUCCCGAGAGUGGAGUGGAAGAGCAAGCAGGGAUGGGGGAAGAGGGAUGGAUAGGAAUCACCAUGGAAAUGGAAGAGACUGGGGUAGGGACAGGUAUCGCGAUCGAAAUGGAAGUAUGGACAGGCGUGAAAGGGGCCGAGAGAGAAGCAGAUCAUGCUCCCCUUCUAGGCAUGGUCACAGAAGGUCAUCAAGAAGCCCAAUCCACACAAGUUAAUGGAUAGUGUAGAUAGAUGACUGGUUUUUGAAAUCAAACGAGGUAGACAUUUUCUAUCUCAGACUUCUUUUCUCAAUGUGCGCUUUCGAGUCCCAAGUAAAAAUGUCAUCAUGGGUGGAACUCUUUUUUUUCUCAGAGCUCUGUUGAUAAGUAUACCAUCUCCCUGUCAUCAAUAUUUUAGAGGACAAAGGGUUGAGAGCUUUUUUGUUUGGUCAUCGUGUAUCCCAAAUUCUUGAGUAGUUAAGAUGACAGAUCCAAAAUAUUUGCCUGAAUGAUGCUGCUGCUGUGGAAGGUGAUGGUUUUUUCUCAACCUUUUGGAGGUAACAUAUAAAUCUCAACUCUGUCAUGGGCAAAAUGUAGAGUGAAAUUCCCCAAACCAUUAAUAAUUUGGGGUGCCUGCCCUUUCUGUCCUUGAUUAUCCUUGCUGCAUAAAAUGCCGUGUGCCCAUGAUUCUAUGUGACAAGGGUUUAUUAUAGCAGUCACAUGGAUCCAGUAACUGUUUACCUAUGGCAUGCUGGGCAUUAAAGCAUUUUGUAUUCCUCCCUUUUUAUCUCCUUUUCUUUUUCUUAUUACCAGCAAUGACUUGUCAUCCUUUAAAGAUGAGGAGGCUUCUGCUUCCUCGUUUUAUCUUAGAAGCCAACCUUGGGGAAAAGGCAUUUUCAGAAUGCUUUGUCUUUUAUUGGCAUGGAGAGCAUGUUGUAUCUUCAAGUAUUGGUAUACUACAAAGAUUCCUUGUAGAACCUGAAUUUUUAGCACCUUGACCAUCUCUUUAAAAACGAAUUAAUACCAAAAAAUGGCAUUUAUGUAUCAUUGUAUUUGGCUCUAGCCUGCUUCAUGUUUUGUGUCAAGGACAGAUGAAGCUUAUUCAUUAGCCAGAAUAAUCAAAUCGGUUGAUCAUGAUAUCUUGGCUCAACAACUUUAUGUUGGCCCUCUCCCAUAUCUUUGCAGGGAAAUGGGAUACAAAGGUUUAUUUUCAAAGGGGCUGGUAGAGCUCUUCUUCCUGAGAAGUGCUUUUUUUUUUUAUGUCCUGGAGGUAUAUCCUUAUUGUUCUGCAGAGUGGAAUCUUUCAACUAUUAGCCGCAGGCAAAACAGGUUCUCCGUCAAACCGACUGACAUCAGGUUCUUUGCAAGUGUAGUAGUGCGGUAAAAAUAGUUGGGCCAUCUAUAUUUUGAAGCAGGCUUUCUGUUCAACCGCAAUGGAAUUAUGUCAGCUGCUUUAAUGAAGUGUGCUUAUGUCAAGUUUUUAGUCUGUGCUGCCUGUUAUCUGGGUUGGUUGUGCUCAAAUCCUCUUUAAUUGAUAUGUCCUCGCUUGCUUGAGCUCAUGUAAACUAAUUGGCAAUAUUCCGAGCAGCGAAGUACUAAUGUUUAGCCCAUGUUUUUCGAGGUUUUUAAUCAAGCGCGUGGUCACUAAAAUACACAUUUGAAGUGUUGGGUACUUGCUCUGUUACUGCGAUUAAUUUAUUUAUUUUUCAGAA